Molecule: ribosomal RNA, 204 nt
Filed under: uncultured bacterium
Lineage: Bacteria
Description: partial 16S ribosomal RNA
Rfam family: Bacterial small subunit ribosomal RNA
Source: RNAcentral
AGUCUAGGCGGUCAGGUAAGUGGGAUGUGAAAGCUCUCGGCUCACCCGAGAAUGUGCAUCUCAAACUGCCUGGCUUGAGUAUGGGAGAGGAUGAGGGAAUUCCUGGUGUAGCGGUGAAAUGCGUAGAUAUCGUGAGGAACACCAGAGGCGAAGGCGGCUACCUGGACAAUUGCUGAGCUCAGGCACGAAGCGUGGGGAGCAAAG